Molecule: ribosomal RNA, 699 nt
Filed under: Staphylinoidea sp. 6 KM-2017
Lineage: Eukaryota; Metazoa; Arthropoda; Insecta; Coleoptera
Description: partial 16S ribosomal RNA
Rfam family: Bacterial large subunit ribosomal RNA
Source: RNAcentral
UAAAAAUUUUUUAUAUAAUAAAGGAAUUCGGCAAAUAUAUUUUUCGCCUGUUUAUUAAAAACAUGUCUUUUUGUAAUUAAUUUAAGGUUUGACCUGCCCAAUGAGUAAUUUAAUGGCUGCAGUAUUUUGACUGUACAAAGGUAGCAUAAUCAUUAGUUUCUUAAUUAGAAGCUGGAAUGAAAGGUUGGACGAGAAAAUAACUGUCUCUAUUAUAAUAAUUAAGAAUUUUAUUUUUAAGUUAAAAAGCUUAAAUAUUUUUAAAAGACGAGAAGACCCUAUAGAGUUUUAUAAUAUAUUUUUAUUAAUUUAAUUUAUUUUAUUUUAAUUUAUUAAUAAGAAAAUUAUUUGAUUGGGGUGAUUAAAAAAUUUAAUAAACUUUAUUAAUAUAAUAACAUUAAUUUAUGAAUAUUUGAUCCAAUAAUUUUGAUUAUAAGAGUAAAUUACCUUAGGGAUAACAGCGUAAUUUCUUUUUAGAGUUCUUAUCAAUAAAGAAGUUUGCGACCUCGAUGUUGGAUUAAAAUUAAGUUUUGGUGUAGAAGCUAAAAUUUUGAGUCUGUUCGACUUUUAAAAUUUUACAUGAUCUGAGUUUAAACCGGUGUGAGCCAGGUUGGUUUCUAUCUUUAAAUAAUCAAUAUAUUUUAGUACGAAAGGACCAAAUAUAAAUAAUAUUUAUUUAUAAUAGAAAAUUAUUAAAUUUAA